GCAGCUAACGCAUUAAGUUGACCGCCUGGGGAGUACGGCCGCAAGGUUAAAACUCAAAUGAAUUGACGGGGGCCCGCACAAGCGGUGGAGCAUGUGGUUUAWUUCGAAGCAACGCGAAGAACCUUACCAGGCCUUGACAUCCAAUGAACUUUCCAGAGAUGGAUUGGUGCCUUCGGGARCWUUGAGACAGGUGCUGCAUGGCUGYCGUCAGCUCGUGUCGUGAGAUGUUGGGUUAAGUCCCGUAACGAGCGCMACCCUUGUCCUUAGUUACCAGCACKUAAUGGUGGGCACUCUAAGGAGACUGCCGGUGACAAACCGGAGGAAGGUGGGGAUGACGUCAAGUCWUCAUGGCCCUUACGGCCUGGGCUACACACGUGCUACAAUGGUCGGUACARAGGGUUGCCAAGCCKCGAGGUGGAGYUAAUCCCAYAAAACCGAUCGUAGUCCGGAUCGCAGUCUGCWACUCGACUGCGUGAAGUCGGAAUCGCUAGUAAUCGCGAAUCAGAAUGUCKCGGUGAAUACGUUCCCGGGCCU
RNAcentral lists this ribosomal RNA (534 nucleotides) under Pseudomonas sp. BAB-4877. RNAcentral describes it as "partial 16S ribosomal RNA". It matches the Rfam family "Bacterial small subunit ribosomal RNA", at positions 848 to 1381 of the family's 1533-position model. The record is from RNAcentral. Lineage: Bacteria; Pseudomonadati; Pseudomonadota; Gammaproteobacteria; Pseudomonadales; Pseudomonadaceae.